GACGAACGCUGGCGGCGUGCUUAAUACAUGCAAGUCGAACGGAAAGGCCCCUUUGGUGGUCCUCGAGUGGCGACCGGGAGCGUAACACGUGCGUAACCUGCACUUGCCUUCGGGAUAACUUCAGGAAACUGGGGCUAAUACCGGUAAGGAAUCCAUGCUGCAAGGAGGGGGUUGGAAAGCUACGGCGGCAUUGGAUGGACUCGCGGGUUAUCCGCUGGUUGGUGGGGUAGUGGCUUACCAAGGCGCUGACGGGUAGCCGGCCUCAGAGGGCGACCGGCCACAUUGGGACUGAGAGACGGCCCAGACUCCUACGGGAGGCAGCAGUGGGGAAUAUUGCACAAUGGGCGGACGCCUGAUGCGGCGACGCCGCGUGCGGGAUGACGGCCUUCGGGUUGUAAACCGCUUUCAGCAGGGGCGAAGCUUGUGGUGACGGUACCUGCAGAAGAAGCACCGGCUAACUACGUG
This 465-nucleotide ribosomal RNA is filed under the name uncultured bacterium. Its description in RNAcentral is "partial 16S ribosomal RNA". It matches the Rfam family "Bacterial small subunit ribosomal RNA", at positions 28 to 507 of the family's 1533-position model. The record is from RNAcentral.